CGGCUCCCGCUUUCCCGGCCGCCGAGCCCGAGCCGCCGUGGGCGGGGCCUGCGGUGAUUGGCGGGCGGGCGGGGAGGUCGGAAGUACUUUGUUUUUUAUGCUAAUGAGGGAGUGGGGCUUGUCCGUAUUUACGUUGAGGCGGGAGCCGCCGCCCUUCAUUCACCCACAUGGUCCUUCGAGGUGCUGCCGCCGCUGCCCGACCUGCGCCUUCGCGCCACUUCGCGCCCUCGGGCGAGGCCGAGGGGGUGGGGACGACCCCCGCCGCGCCGCCGCGGCUCGCGCCCCCUCGCGAAGCCCCCUCCGCGGGGCGGGCCGGCCGGCUGGCCGCACCCCCGGCCUGGGGCCUCCGGUCGUAGUAAAGCGGAGGCGGGUGGGGAGGCGGGAGCGAGAGCCCGCGGCGGGCGAGGCGAAGAUGGUGGCGGCUACUCCUCCUGUCAUACACGUGGACCUAACUGCACCAAAAGCUUUUCUAAGGAUAUUUGCUGAGAAGGAAGUUUUCCCGAGUGGAGCUUCAGAACCAUCACUAACAAAAAGAGAGCUGUCAAAGAUGGAGACUUAUUCCUUAAACCCGUCUCAGUUUACUAUAGGAUGA
RNAcentral lists this long non-coding RNA (592 nucleotides) under Bos indicus x Bos taurus (hybrid cattle). RNAcentral describes it as "lncRNA (ENSBIXG00000021355.1)". Lineage: Eukaryota; Metazoa; Chordata; Mammalia; Artiodactyla; Bovidae. The record is from RNAcentral.